Xenia sp. Carnegie-2017 is the source of this 185-nucleotide long non-coding RNA. RefSeq lists it as uncharacterized. The record is from RefSeq and is a predicted model, not a curated record. NCBI's taxonomy places the organism in Eukaryota, Metazoa, Cnidaria, Anthozoa, Malacalcyonacea, Xeniidae. The transcript is spliced from 2 exons.
UAGCAUUAUGCAACAUGCUAAGCUGCAGAAACACAUUCACAUGGAGAGACCCAACAAGACAUACAACUUUACCCGCCCCGUUUGGGAUUAUAUAUUUUACGGUCCUGAUUUUUCUACCAAUGUAGUCGAUGAGAGCCGGGAAGAAAUGGGAAAGAAACAAGACAUGUCAGCGUUGAUUGAAAUGG